CAAACGGCCUUUUUAAAGGCCACCGUCGUUCACAGCGUUUGAAUA
Salmo salar (Atlantic salmon) is the source of this 45-nucleotide non-coding RNA. NCBI's taxonomy places the organism in Eukaryota, Metazoa, Chordata, Actinopteri, Salmoniformes, Salmonidae. The record is from Rfam.